UCCGGGAUCGUCUAAUGGUAGGACGACAGGUUUUGGUCCUGUUAAUUGGGGUUCGAAUCCCUAUCCCGGAACAA
RNAcentral lists this transfer RNA (74 nucleotides) under Candidatus Moranbacteria bacterium CG_4_9_14_3_um_filter_36_9. RNAcentral describes it as "tRNA-Gln". It matches the Rfam family "tRNA". Rfam says of the family: Transfer RNA (tRNA) molecules are approximately 80 nucleotides in length. Their secondary structure includes four short double-helical elements and three loops (D, anti-codon, and T loops). RNAcentral also lists the same sequence under 1 other name. The record is from RNAcentral. Lineage: Bacteria; Candidatus Moraniibacteriota.